GCUGCACCUAGCGGUGCUGAUUAGAAUUAAACUCCCAAUGCUAUAACUUGUGCAUAGCAGUCAGAACAUGGGUGAUAAGGUCCAUGCUCGUGAGGGAAACAGCCCAGAUCGUCAGCUAAGGUCCCUAAGUGUAAACUAAGUGUGUAAGGAUGUGGAACUGCACAGACAGCUAGGAUGUUGGCUUAGAAGCAGCCAUCAUUUAAAGAGUGCGUAACAGCUCACUAGUCGAGUGAUUCUGCGCCGAAAAUGUACCGGGGCUUAAGUUUACCACCGAAGCUACGGAUUGUACGCAAGUACAGUGGUAGGGGAGCGUUCCAAGGGUGAUGAAGUCAGACCGUAAGGACUGGUGGAGCGCUUGGAAGUGAUUAUGCCGGCAUGAGUAACGUUUGGAAGUGAGAAUCUUCCAUGCCGUUUGACCAAGGUUUCCUGGGCAAGGUUCGUCCACCCAGGGUUAGUCAGGACCUAAGACGAGGCCGACAGGCGUAGUCGAUGGACAACAGGUUGAUAUUCCUGUACCAGUUAAUUAGUGAUGGAGUGACGGAGAAGGAUAGUAUAUCCCGGGUGCUGGUUGUCCCGGGCUAAGCACAAAGACGGCAACAUUGGCAAAUCCGUGUUGUAUUAACGUUGAAGUGUGAUGGGGAGUGAACGGUUCGCCUAGUAACGAAGUAUAUGACUCCACGCUUCCAAGAAAAGCUUCUAACAUUAAUAAUUAACUGCCUGUACCUAGAACGAACACACGUGGUCAAGGAGAAAAUCCUAAGGCAAGCGAGAUAACUGUAGCUAAGGAACUCUGCAAAAUAACUCCGUAACUUCGGAAGAAGGAGUGCUCAUCUUUGAUGAGCCGCAGUGAAGAGGGAGGGGCAACUGUUUAACAAAAACACAGCUCUCUGCUAAGUCGCAAGACGAUGUAUAGGGGGUGACACCUGCCCAGUGCCGGAAGGUUAAGAGGAGAAGUCAGCGCAAGCGAAGCUUUGAAUUGAAGCCCCGGUGAACGGCGGCCGUAACUAUAAC
Molecule: ribosomal RNA, 1011 nt
Filed under: Klebsiella pneumoniae
Lineage: Bacteria; Pseudomonadati; Pseudomonadota; Gammaproteobacteria; Enterobacterales; Enterobacteriaceae
Description: bacterial LSU rRNA
Rfam family: Bacterial large subunit ribosomal RNA
Source: RNAcentral